GUAGGGGGCGAGCGUUGUCCGGAUUUAUUGGGCGUAAAGAGCUCGUAGGCGGCUCAGCAAGUCGGCCGUGAAAACCCAGGGCUCAACCCUGGGAUGCCGGUCGAUACUGCUGUGGCUAGGGUCCGGUAGAGGAGCGUGGAAUUCCCGGUGUAGCGGUGAAAUGCGCAGAUAUCGGGAGGAACACCAGUAGCGAAGGCGGCGCUCUGGGCCGGCACCGACGCUGAGGAGCGAAAGCUAGGGGAGCAAACAGGAUUAGAUACCCUGGUAGUCCUAGCCGUAAACGUUGGGCACUAGGUGUGGCGGAUGCAUUCACGUCUGCUGCGCCGUAGCUAACGCAUUAAGUGCCCCGCCUGGGGAGUACGGCCGCAAGGCUAAA
RNAcentral lists this ribosomal RNA (376 nucleotides) under uncultured bacterium. RNAcentral's name for it is "bacterial SSU rRNA". It matches the Rfam family "Bacterial small subunit ribosomal RNA", at positions 527 to 898 of the family's 1533-position model. The record is from RNAcentral.